ACCUGGGUGGCUCAGUGGUUGAGCAUCUGCCUUUGGCUCAGGUCGUGAUCCCCAGGUU
RNAcentral lists this transfer RNA (58 nucleotides) under Canis lupus familiaris (dog). RNAcentral also lists the same sequence under 2 other names. Lineage: Eukaryota; Metazoa; Chordata; Mammalia; Carnivora; Canidae. The record is from Rfam by way of RNAcentral.